CAGUAAACAAAUGUCGAUUAAAUGGAAC
Molecule: non-coding RNA, 28 nt
Filed under: Bombyx mori (domestic silkworm)
Lineage: Eukaryota; Metazoa; Arthropoda; Insecta; Lepidoptera; Bombycidae
Source: RNAcentral